CGACAGGCCUAACACAUGCAAGUCAGGGGCAGCACAAGGAGCAAUCUGAGGUGGCGACCGGCGCACGGGUGAGUAACACGUAUGCAACCUGCCUGUAAGCGGGGAAUAACCCGUUGAAAGACGGACUAAUACCGCAUAAUACUAAAUUACUGCAUGGUAAUUAUUUAAACAUUUAUGGCUUACAGAUGGGCAUGCGCAUGAUUAGCUAGUUGGAGAGGUAACGGCUCCCCAAGGCAACGAUCAUUAGGGGUUCUGAGAGGAAGGUCCCCCCACACUGGUACUGAGACACGGACCAGACUCCUACGGGAGGCAGCAGUGAGGAAUAUUGGUCAAUGGACGAGAGUCUGAACCAGCCAAGUCGCGUGCAGGAAGAAUGUCCUAUGGAUUGUAAACUGCUUUUGCAGGGGAAUAAAGUGCAUCACGUGUGAUGUUUUGUAUGUACUCUGCGAAUAAGGAUCGGCUAACUCCGUGCCAGCCGCGGC
RNAcentral lists this ribosomal RNA (482 nucleotides) under uncultured bacterium. Its description in RNAcentral is "bacterial SSU rRNA". It matches the Rfam family "Bacterial small subunit ribosomal RNA", at positions 40 to 518 of the family's 1533-position model. The record is from RNAcentral.